Molecule: long non-coding RNA, 4439 nt
Organism: Loxodonta africana (African savanna elephant)
Lineage: Eukaryota; Metazoa; Chordata; Mammalia; Proboscidea; Elephantidae
Exons: 4
Source: RefSeq, a predicted model, not a curated record
CAGAGUAGAACUGCCCCAUAGGGUUUCUAAGGAGAGACUGGUGGAUUUGAACUGCUGACCUUUUGGUUAGCAACCGAGCUUUUAACCACUGCGCCACCAGGGCUCCAAGCCGAUCACAAAACAAUGGAAUUAUCUGCUUUGUCUCUUGAAAACAGCCCUAUAGCCAUGGCCCUAGUUCAAAGUUUUGUCAUCUCUUUGCCUGGUCUCCCUUUCUCUCUUCUAACACAUCCUUCAAAACACCACCAAAGUUACAUCGGUAAAACAUUUCACUCCUUCCUUCAACCACUUCUCACCUUCAGUGCUCCACCACCUUCUGUGCUACACCUGGCCUGGCCUUGAGGUCUCACGUCGUCUGCCACCAGAUCCCACUGGGCACUCCGUGCACCAACCACAUCUCGCUAGUGCUCCCCCCUGAACAGCACACUUUCUGUUACCUGAUUUCAAGUCAUGCUGGGACUUCAGCAGCACUCCUUGGGAGAAACAGGAGGAGGGUGCAAGAAUGGGGGUUGGUGAACCCAAAGAAGCUACAGAAGCUGCUGUCCUAUGAGGGGGGCACACGAGGUGUGGCUUGUCAGUUGUCUGACCCAGCAGGUACUUCUGGAUGAGGGUAUGGCCACGUUCCAAGGACCCAGUCAAGCACGUUAGUGUGCAAGGCCUGCAUCCCGUCCUGAGACUUUGAACUCAAGGCAGGAGGCUGACUGUGACAUAGAAGAUACUGUAAAUCCCCUGGAGCCCAGCAGCCAGGGCCAUGACCAGGGUCUGGCUCCCCACUGCCUCGCUGAUAUCUCCCACCUCACUCCUCUUCCACCUUGCUGGCCUUCAUGUUAUUCCUUAAACAUUGUAAGUGUAUUCCUGCCACGGGGCCUUUGCAUUUGCUCUGUCCUCUGCCUAGAAGGCCUUUCCCCUGGAUUUUUAAACGAUUUGCCCCUUCAAUUCAUUUAAAUCUCAAAUGAAAUAUUGCUUCCUCACUCGUUUUCUGUAAUUAAAUACUACCUCCUGCUCUUCCACCUCCAUCACUCUUAUCCCCUCACCUUUAUUUUACAGUUCUCCAUAGCAGUUGUCACAACUUGAACUUGCAUUAUUUGUUGCUUGGUUGCUGUUGUCUGUGUCCGCCACCGGAGGACAAAGACUUUGACUCGUUUCCUGCUAUAUCGCGGAACACCUACAUAUAGUACCUGGCACAGAGCAGGAUUGGCUGGUACUGAGCCAAGCUCGUUGGCAGGUUCACAGAUGAAAGGCUGGCAAAGGCCAAGACCCAAUUUCACACUUGCCCCUGGACCACUGGUGUUCCUGCUGCCAGAUGUUAGGAAAUGGAGCUCAGAGAGGUGAAGUUUGUGGCUCAAGACCACCCAACUCAAGGGAAGGAGUGGGACCUGGAACCUACUUCUUCACAUGCCCCAGGCCACACGGCUUAUCUGUAAGGUGACUGGCCUGAAAACACCAGCGCUGCUUCUGGAUGCCCCUCAGUGGUUCCACAGCUUUGGGCAACUUGUACAAUCUGUAGGGUGACUGAUCUUCACUCAAGUGCCUUAGAGGGCAAGAACUGAGCCUGAUUCUUCUCUACAGCCCCAGCUCUCAGCACAGGUAAGACAUCUAAUGGGGUCAAUAAAUGUAAACUGGAUUGCUCUUUGCAAUAGCAAGUACACACACACACACAUUCUGCUUCAGAGGCUGAGGUUAAGGGUUACAUGACCUGAAGGAGCUGGCUGCCCGUGUCAUUGGGCUGAAACCACUGUGGGCUGGCAUGCCAGGGCUGUUUGCUGGAGAAGGGAACACUUAGGUCUGAAAUAAAUCCUAACUUUAAAAAAGAAACAUAACCAAUAGGUGUUCUAUUUAUAUGAAGCAACCUCUGUUUUUAGGUAGCAGUGCUCCCACCUCACCUCCCCAAGGUGAACCCUACCCUCCCACAGGUCCCUUCCACACCCCACCCGGUAAUCAUGGUCUCACCUGCCCCACCUUUCCUCCCCUGCUUGCUCUCUGGGGUUUCCCUCGAUUGCAGGGUAUGAGUUUCCAGACGCCCCAGAGGCCUGUCUCAUGCGUGGCCCCAGACUCCCUCCCCACUCCCUGCCUGCCCUGCCCUGCCCUUCUCACCAGGCAGUUAGUGAGGAGCAAGCCAGAGUGAGGACCUUUGGGCCCUUUGGGUAGGUUGGGGAGGGGGCAGGGCAGGGAGUCAGUCUGUGACUAGAUUAGCCCCUUAACUGACCCAGAGAGGGGAAGAUUAAUGACUGAGUUCACAGAGGGAGCCAAGUUCUCCUUCCAGGCUCCUGUCAAACCACCAGGACCUCACUGCCUGUUGUUGUUAGCUGCCAUGGAACUGGCCCCCAACUCAUGACGAGCCCAUGCACGAUGAGAUCAGACACUUGUGCCCCACAGGGUUUUUGUUGGCUGAUUUUUCAUACGCAGAUCACCAGGCCUUUUUUCCUUGUCUGUCUUAGUCUGGAAGCUCUGCUAAAACCUGUUCAUCAUAGCAGCACACUAGCCUCCACUGACAGACAGGUGGUGGCCGUGCUUGAGGAGUGUUGGCUGGGAAUUGAACCAGGGUCUCCCACAUGGAAGGCGAAAAUUCUACCACUAAAAAAUACAGGGUCCAUGUGGUGCAGUUAAAGGAACAUAAGUUUUGGCAUCGUGGUCACUGUCCUGGUUCCUGGGCAGCCGCCAGCACUUAGCUCACCUAACUCCCUAAAUCCCUCUGCGCCUCAGACUCCCCACUGGCGAAACAGUUAACACCCGUGUCUGCUAAGAGGCCUGAGUCACACAGUAAGGCAGGCAAAGCACAAGCCCGGCUACUCCCAUCAGCGGGGCUGUUUGUGAAAUCUGGCAGGGAGAGAAGUUUGGAGCUGAGAGCAGUAGCUUCAGUAGACAGGCCUUGUGAAACACUGCCCCAUCCUGUGCGAUCUUCAUGAUCGUUGGUAUGUUUGAGUAUAUUGUUGUGGCCGUGGUGUCAAUCCAUCUCAUUGAUGGUUUCCCUCAUUUUUUGCUGACUUGACUGAACAAUCACCCUACCAUGGUGGCCAAAAGGCCCUUUGUCACCCAGCUCCUGCCUCCCUCUCUAUUCUCAUCGCUCACCCUCACCUCCUCCAUACACCCCCUUAUCUCAGGGAGCCCCUGGGCCUAACAGCACAACUCCCUCUGGCAAGGCUUCUUGCUCCUAAUGGGAUGUCAGAUUAGGGGAGAGCCCCAACCUUCAAUGUGCUGGCAGCUCCCUCCAGCCUCCAGCCAGGUUCUAGAAAGACGCCAGGGCAGGCCUGAGGCUGGGGGCUGGGUCUCACUGUCCUGGGAACUUCUGAGCCUCCCUCACAGCUCAGCACUCAGGCAGGCACCCAACAAACCACAGCUGUGGUUUCCAGCGAGCCAGGACUCCCGCUGUAGGGACAGUAAGCUGAGAAGUGCUGUAGCUAUAAAUGUAGAGUGGGGAACCGCGGGACACUGCUGCAGCCCAGCAGUGGGUAGGAGCCAGCCCCCCAGCCUCCUGCAGGCUUCAGGCCCAGCUCACCAAGCCUCUGAAGUGGCACAGACCCGCCCACCGGGGCUCUGAGCUCUGAGCAGGGCUGCUGGGGUUCUUUGGAGGGCCCCGACCCAGGUCCUGGCCACAGCUGGGGACUGGGCAGGCAGGGGACUACAUAGCAUCUCGGGUACCUUAUGCCUCCAGUGGUCAGUGCCACUGGUCUCUGCUCACACCACAGCCUUGUUUUAUGUUGAUUUACCCAAGAGGAGGGGACACCCACUCUUUUUGGUGCUUAGUGCUUGCAACUGUCUUCUUCCUGGCCCAGGUUAGCACCAGGCCACAGCUCCAGGCACAUCUGGAGGAUGCAAGGGGCACAGUCAGUGUUGCCUUGGGGUGGAGAGUGGGGGGACGUGGGUCUCCUGUGGCCUUGAUGAGCACCCUCAGAGGCACAGCAGGAAAGGAGACCCUGGGGAGGUGCAGCCGUGACUCACCCAAGUGUCCACUCAGAGCUCUCAGAAACUUGGAAGGGUCACUGUGCCCACUUCAGAGGUGAGGGCUCACACACAUAGAGAAGGGCCCUUCUCCUCUGGCCCCUCUCAGCCUGCCAAGGGCCUGAGUCUCUGUGCCAACACCCACACUGCACUGGACAGUCUGGGGAAACAUCAGACCAUGAGGGGCCACCAGGCACAGCCCCCUUGGUAGACUGAGUAGACUCGGCCUGUUCACUGCCUGCUCAGAGACAAGCAUCAUCCCUCUUCGUAAAGGAAUGAGCUCGGGGUGUUUCUAGGAGCCCCUUCCCAGAGGCUGACCCUCUGGGGUUGGCACCCUUGGAUCUCUGGGCUGGAGCCCCCUCGGGUAGAGAGAAGGAAGGAGACAUCAACGGCCAACAGUUGAGACAGAGGCCCUCCUGAGAGGUUGUCAUUGGGGAACUCCGCGCUGGGUGAUGGUAAGAGAAAUCUUCACAGGUCUAGGGGUCGCCUCUGCCAGCUGGUGG